GUGAGUAACACGUGGGAAACCUGCCCAGAAGCGGGGGAUAACACGUGGAAACAGAUGCUAAUACCGCAUAACAACUUGGACCGCAUGGUCCGAGUUUGAAAGAUGGCUUCGGCUAUCACUUUUGGAUGGUCCCGCGGCGUAUUAGCUAGAUGGUGGGGUAACGGCUCACCAUGGCAAUGAUACGUAGCCGACCUGAGAGGGUAAUCGGCCACAUUGGGACUGAGACACGGCCCAAACUCCUACGGGAGGCAGCAGUAGGGAAUCUUCCACAAUGGACGAAAGUCUGAUGGAGCAACGCCGCGUGAGUGAAGAAGGGUUUCGGCUCGUAAAACUCUGUUGUUAAAGAAGAACAUAUCUGAGAGUAACUGUUCAGGUAUUGACGGUAUUUAACCAGAAAGCCACGGCUAACUACGUGCCAGCAGCCGCGGUAAUACGUAGGUGGCAAGCGUUGUCCGGAUUUAUUGGGCGUAAAGCGAGCGCAGGCGGUUUUUUAAGUCUGAUGUGAAAGCCUUCGGCUCAACCGAAGAAGUGCAUCGGAAACUGGGAAACUUGAGUGCAGAAGAGGACAGUGGAACUCCAUGUGUAGCGGUGAAAUGCGUAGAUAUAUGGAAGAACACCAGUGGCGAAGGCGGCUGUCUGGUCUGUAACUGACGCUGAGGCUCGAAAGUAUGGGUAGCAAACAGGAUUAGAUACCCUGGUAGUCCAUACCGUAAACGAUGAAUGCUAAGUGUUGGAGGGUUUCCGCCCUUCAGUGCUGCAGCUAACGCAUUAAGCAUUCCGCCUGGGGAGUACGGCCGCAAGGCUGAAACUCAAAGGAAUUGACGGGGGCCCGCACAAGCGGUGGAGCAUGUGGUUUAAUUCGAAGCUACGCGAAGAACCUUACCAGGUCUUGACAUACUAUGCAAAUCUAAGAGAUUAGACGUUCCCUUCGGGGACAUGGAUACAGGUGGUGCAUGGUUGUCGUCAGCUCGUGUCGUGAGAUGUUGGGUUAAGUCCCGCAACGAGCGCAACCCUUAUUAUCAGUUGCCAGCAUUAAGUUGGGCACUCUGGUGAGACUGCCGGUGACAAACCGGAGGAAGGUGGGGAUGACGUCAAAUCAUCAUGCCCC
Molecule: ribosomal RNA, 1108 nt
Filed under: Lactiplantibacillus plantarum
Lineage: Bacteria; Bacillati; Bacillota; Bacilli; Lactobacillales; Lactobacillaceae
Description: bacterial SSU rRNA
Rfam family: Bacterial small subunit ribosomal RNA
Source: RNAcentral